CUUCUCCAGUGAAUAUAAGACCCAGAAACUGCCAGAAAUUUGUAUGGAAAAGAUGAAGGAUAUUGUGAUAUCCUCACUGAUGACCUGAAGAGGAGACCUGUGGUUUUACAGCUGCAGAUCAAACCCUAAAAUGAGUGACUGCCUGAAAGACCAGGAGCACCUCUAUGUCUCUUGCACAAGAGGACGUCCCCAGCCACAGAUCUGGGCCUGCAACUGGAAGGAAAUGCCUGGUGGGACAGAGGGAUACCCUGCAUUGGCGGCUGCUGGUGCUCGGCAUGUGCUGUGGGCUUACCCACUGCAUCCCUGCAAAGGGACUGAAAGUGGAAUCAGCACAGCAAACAGAGAAACCCCAAGAGCCACAGUGUUUACCUGCAGCGCUCACUGUGCAAGCUGUGACGCCACAGUAAGGUCAGGAAACUGGACGUCCAUUUGGCUGCCUGCCCACUCACCCAGUACUUGUGCCUGCACUGGCAGAGGGCAGCAAAACCUGAGCACAUCUGUUUCGUUUGAGGACAAAACCACCAGAAAACCAGACGGUUUUAUGAAGAUCUUAGUUGGGUGCCUUCCAAAUACUACAUAAUCUUGUAGAAGAAAUUGUUUUCUUGAGGAAUGACCCGCAUAUUUAUAUAUUCAAGUAUUAUUUGGACAUUGAAGUAAAACAUUUUCAACCCGAA
Long non-coding RNA from Cygnus olor (mute swan), 674 nucleotides. RefSeq lists it as uncharacterized. The transcript is spliced from 2 exons. The record is from RefSeq and is a predicted model, not a curated record. Lineage: Eukaryota; Metazoa; Chordata; Aves; Anseriformes; Anatidae.